UUUAUAUAUGGGCUUAUCUCUAUCUUUGUGUGCUUGUGUGCAUCUCUAUGUGCAUGUAUCUGCAAUUUGUGGGCAUGCCUUUUCUUGGAAAACCUGAAUAUUAUCAUGUUUUCAUGUUAUGUAUGCAAACGUAUUUGCAAAGCUAGAUACUCUUAGUCCAAUAACAAAUUAGUCACUGAAUCAAACAUUUAUUCUGUAAUAACUGAUUUAGUAUAGAACUUUGACAAUGAAUUUGCAAUUUUGAUGACCUUUAUAGGUUUUCAGUUGUAGAUGUAUCUUCUGGAGUUGGGUUUUGAAUCAUGCAUUCAACUUGUCAUUACAUUUGUUUAUCUGUUGAAAUUGCUUAGAAGGAAGUAUUUAUUGGUGAAGG
RNAcentral lists this unclassified non-coding RNA (370 nucleotides) under Hevea brasiliensis (rubber tree). Lineage: Eukaryota; Viridiplantae; Streptophyta; Magnoliopsida; Malpighiales; Euphorbiaceae. The record is from RNAcentral.